CUCUCUCUCUCUACCCGAGAGCUUCUCUGUCUUCAUCCUCACCGGAAAUCGCCGCCGUCACCGGAAUCCCAAUCCCCACCAAAAUUUCCAGAUUUUCUUCUCUUCAUCCCCUCUUUCCAUUUCUCCAACCAAAAUCAUGAAAUUUAACCAUUUAAUCCUCCAAAAACCUUAGAACCCGAAGCUAAAUUGGGGCUUUUUGUGAUUUCUUCUUUCCAAGUUCAAAUCAAGAGGCUAGGCUAUGGGUUUGGCAAGGAUUUGUGGUAAGGAUCUACCCAUGCAACCUUGUUUCGCAAUUUUUGGUGGUGAUAUUGAUGUUGGACGAAUUUGUAGCUGAAGAAGGCCAUGGAGGAGGCUUAGGCCGUGAGUUUUGAAGAAGAAAGGUGUGCAGGUUUCGAGCAUGUGGUCGGGAAGCGUACAGGGGAGGCACAUGGCCCGGCUUGGCGCAUUUCUCUUUAGUUUUAUCAAAAUGAAGGUUUUGGUCCCUUAUCGGAUUUUGAAGUAACUUAGUUAUUUAUUUUCUUACUAAUUUAUUUGUUUAUUUGUUUUCUAUUCUCUCAUUUACAAAAUUUCGAGAGACCCGUAACCCUGGGGCGCGUCUCUCAUACUUGUUUUUACUUCGUGAUUUGUUAUUUUCCAAAUUGGGCUCCUAUUGUAAGCCCAAAUCUUUUAGCUCACUUUAAAUUCUGCUUGCGAAAAUAUGUUGUUCGGUUGCUAGAAUGUUUUGUGACUUUUGUCCAAGAAAGUGUUUUGUAAACCAACAACCUAAACUCAAAAGGCCUUGCGGUUUCGGGUUGAUGAGCUAUCGAGAUGCCAUUCGUGACAUGUCGAUUCCUCACUGGCUCGGAGUCGCGGCGCUGUGGGACCCCCCUUUCGGGUCACCACAAGUAAUGACCUGUUGAGCAUCCGAUUCUACCAUCACCCUUGAUAAUUUGAGAUCCAAUGCAUGUAGCAUUAAUCCCGUCCAAGAUGGCAAAUGCUUCAGCCACUGCUGCCGACCUACAAAUGCCCGAUCUAGCAGAGCCACCAAUGACAUUACCCAGAUUGUCACGUAUCAUGACUCCAUAGCCACUUGUAGAAGACGGAUCAGACCAUGAGGCAUCGCAAUUUAUUUUUGCAAACCCAGGAGGAGGAGGGAUCCAUUUGGUAGAUGGCAUGGACAACGGAGUUAUAGCAGGUGGAAUCGGCCUAUUUACCUGCCAGAAUUCAUUAGCUUGAUUGAUCCCACUGGAGAUGAUGGCUUGGGGGCAGAGCGGUUUCCUCUGAUAUAUGUACUCACACCUUGCAACCCAUAUCUUCCAGCAGAUGAAGCUGAUCAAGAUCAACACUUGCUAUGUUCAAUGAUGCUGAAAAGAAAGGCUUGAUAACUCCUGGAGUGGUUAGCUAAGAGCCUCACACUACUACAAAUUUCCCCAAACCCCACUGAUUUGAAUUAGUCUCUAUUGGGACAAAGCAUACUGAUAAUAGUGGCUAAUGGCCAUUAGCCACUAUGCAGCUACUAAUGAGAUAUCAGUCCCCUCUAUUGCAGGUGCUAAUGUGCUAUUGGGACAAUCCACACUGUUAAAACAACAGUGACAUACCAAAAUCCAAUGCAGCAUAUAACCUUUUUCUCUCCCACUGUUAUUGUAUCAGUGUGUUUUCUCAAUGCCACCAACAUCAGUGGCAAAAUUUGGUGAAUAUAUAAAAAAAAAUAACAAUUUGGCCCACCAAAAUGUACUGUAUAAUUCUAAAAUAUACUUCCUCAAUUCAUAUACAACUUCAAAUAAAAUACAACAUAAAUCUCUUCAUCAUGUUCCUCCCCAUAGCUGCAUCUGCUACCUCUCCUCCAGCAACUUUUCUAUAAUUUCU
Molecule: long non-coding RNA, 1845 nt
Organism: Rosa rugosa (rugosa rose)
Lineage: Eukaryota; Viridiplantae; Streptophyta; Magnoliopsida; Rosales; Rosaceae
Exons: 4
Source: RefSeq, a predicted model, not a curated record